GUAGGGUGCAAGCGUUAUUCGGAAUUACUGGGCGUAAAGCGUGCGCAGGCGGCUUUGCAAGUCAGAUGUGAAAUCCCCGGGCUUAACCUGGGAACUGCAUUUGUGACUGCAUGGCUGGAGUGCGGCAGAGGGGGAUGGAAUUCCGCGUGUAGCAGUGAAAUGCGUAGAUAUGCGGAGGAACACCGAUGGCGAAGGCAAUCCCCUGGGCCUGCACUGACGCUCAUGCACGAAAGCGUGGGGAGCAAACAGG
This 250-nucleotide ribosomal RNA is filed under the name uncultured bacterium. RNAcentral describes it as "partial 16S ribosomal RNA". It matches the Rfam family "Bacterial small subunit ribosomal RNA", at positions 527 to 776 of the family's 1533-position model. The record is from RNAcentral.